Lynx canadensis (Canada lynx) is the source of this 2626-nucleotide long non-coding RNA. RefSeq lists it as uncharacterized. NCBI's taxonomy places the organism in Eukaryota, Metazoa, Chordata, Mammalia, Carnivora, Felidae. The record is from RefSeq and is a predicted model, not a curated record. The transcript has 2 exons.
CCAAAGGAAGCCCGGGCGUGCGCUUGCAGCCCUGCUCUUACCGAGCUCCCCCCGCCCGGAAGCAGCUGGCCUUGCUGGACGAAGGAGCCCCGAGGCACCAGGACCCGGCCCGGGGCGACACCCGUGAUGUGGGCGUGUCCCGAGGGCUGUUUCCUAGCAGGAGACACUCCUGUGACCCAGGCAGGGCGGCGGCUCUUCUGACACCUGGUAGCAACGGGGGGGGGGGGCUGGUGUGGUUUCGUCUCAUGGCGGGUGCCUCCUCCGGACAGACCCCCCCCCCCCCCAAGCCGAUUCCAGCUGCGCGUGGUUCUCUGGCCUGGGAAGCGGGAACAGCGCUGACGUGUUUCCUGCGCAGACUCCCCGGCCCUCCCUGUGCCGUCCGCCCGGCGGACCGGCUCACCGCCCAGACACCGCCGGGUCUGCAAGUGGCCUGUCCCCCGGGGCGAGGGGGGGACCUGCCGGAUGCCCUCGUUCCCGGGAGGCGGGUCACGCACUUCCGCUUCGCGGCUUUGGGCUCCUUCGCUUUGAGGUCAUGGUUCCUAAGGAUGGAGCGCCACCGCCUGGGGACACAGCUGACCCCCCCCCCUCCCCCGCACUGAGCUCAGCGGCCCGCAGGACGGGGAGGGCGGAGCCCCGUGGCCCUCUGGGCACUUUCAUCACUAAGAUUGUGGCUGAUAAAGGCUCCAGAUACCUCGGGACGGAGAUGCUCCGCUAGCCCAUGGCGGCUGCUGCUUCUUCCCGCCACACCCGGAAGCCCCCGUCUUCGAAUGUGACUUGAACCCUUUGAGAGGCAACACCCAGUUAUGACAAGAAACAGGGCAAAUAAGUAAAAACCGUUUCACGGGUGAGUGCCACCUUGGGGCGCACCCUCCCAGCCCACCCCGCGGGGCCGGCUUCUCUGGCGCGUCACACGGAGCAGGGCCGUGGCGCAUUCCCCCGUCCUUGGAGGGAGCGGCCACUUAACCGUCUUGUUGCGGUUACUUCUGGGGACUGUCGUGACCUGGCCGUAGAAUUCUCUUCUUCCACUUCUGAGCCCUUUACGGCCUUGAGAAGAGGCCCGAGCGCCGGACCCUUUCUCAAAGCUGCGCCACGCGGAGCGUUUGCGAAAUCCCAGGAACCGACCCACCAGGCAGGCGGGCGGCCGCAUGCGUUCGGGUUCCCGGGGUGUCAGCCGCUGCCCCCGGCCGGCAGGAGCGCGUCUGCGACAGAAUUUCAAUUCCGGGGCUUUCCAAACAUGCCCCAGAAACCCCAUCGUGACAGGUUCUCAGUCGUGGCCCAAGAACCGUCUGCGGUCGCGUUUCCAAUAAAGAACGACACGUGACAAGGCGCGUCCUCAGGUACGUACGACUUUACACUUUAUUCAUUCCAGUGGAGACCAAAGCUGUUUCACGGAGCCCACCCCGGACCCCCGGUCCCCGCGGGGCCCCCGUCGUCUCCGUCCCCACCUCCCACAAAAGGGGUCCAUCCGUAUCCACGUUCUGAACGCCCGCAGGUGCGAGGCCGCACGGAAGAACAAACAUCCAUCCCAAGUCUGCUUAUCAGAGGCUUUUUUCCUGAAAACGCGCACGGCAUUCCGUUCAAACAGCCCUUCAUGCGCAGACGGGGAGGGGCCUCCCCUCGGGAUAUCUUAGUCUGUUCACCUCCUUCGUCCGUCACUUGUACGUUUUCUCUCUUAAAAACAAAACUUUAUGCAUCUACAGUCACAUAACUGAUCGCCGUGAACCGCCAGGCUGUGUCUGGCCACCGCGGGCGCCCAGCUGGCACUGUCACGCUGGUGUGGUCGGGGAGGGGGCACAGCUGAGGCCGGGGGGCUUUUCCUUCACUCAUGGCCGUGGCCGUGGAUGGAAAUGCGCACUGAGAACUCCUGGGGAGGUUACAAACGCUUUUUCCUGUACUUCGGGCCUGGCGGUCACUUCCUACGCAGAGGCCCAAGAACAAAAUACAACUUAUUUAGAAAUUCAGAAGAACUUUCCCCCCAGGCAAACCCAGAGGCUUUGCUUCAGGGAACGGAGUGGAGACUGCGGGGCUUAUAUUGUGCUUUAAGGACAGGUUUCCAGCUGUGUGUCCAGGGAGUGAUCUGGGCUGAGCUCCGGGCGGGAGAGGCGACAGGAACCGUCCCUUUCCUGCGUCUGGAGGCUGUGCUCCUCCCCUCGGGGUCACCAGAGGCCUGACGGCCUUCCCCGGACCUCCUGCCAUCCGCACGGGCUGUCCCCCCGGCACCGGCUCCCGCGGUCUACACACGGUUCCCUUCCCCCACAGCUCCUCCCCCUGCACACGUGGGACCCAGCACCGGGAGCAGGGACGAGGGUCGGCCUCCCAGCGGGCCCGGCCCGUCGGCAGCCCCCCUGCCGGCCCAGCACCACCGUUGAGGCCGCUAUGUGCACGGGGAGGCAGAUCGCGUCCCGAUACACGGAGACACCAGGCUGGUAACGUCUGUAGAAAAGAGGGGUCUGAAAAGGGUUAAAGAGGCAGAUGGGAGCUCUGGGCCACGUGUGUGGGGGACCCAGACACGGGUGGACCUGGUGGAGAGAGGCCGGCAAGAGGCUGAAGUCAAAGCCCCACACAGCCUCGGACCUGAUCACAAAAGGGCCCGUAAAUAAAUAUCCUCUAGCCCUGAAAGGAAAAA